AUGAAGAGGCUAGCAGGCACUGUGCUGGGGCUUUUGCUUGCCCAGGUUUGCUGUGUGCGAGGGGUGGAUGUGGAGCAGAGUCCCCCAGCCCUGAGUCUCCAGGAGGGAGCCAGCUACACGCUUUGGUGUAAUUUUUCCACUUCCCCACCGAGUGUGAAUUGGUAUCUUCAGAACCCUGGGGGCCACCUCAUCCACCUGUUUUACAUUCCUUCAGGGACAAAGCAGGAAGGAAGAUUAAAGGCCACGACAGUCCCUGCAGAACGCCGCAGCUCACUGCACAUUUCCUCUCCGCGGACCACAGACUCGGGCACUUACUUCUGUGCUGCGCAGCACGGUGCUCCCCAGGCACCUGCGGCCUCUACAGGAACCCUCCCGGGGCUCAGCCCCUCCUCCAGCCUCAGUCACACCGUGAGGCCCCACAGGGCAUUUUCAGUGCUUAGUAAUCCUUAGGAACAUUGGUAUAGGUAUAACCACAAACACUUUUUAGCCCAACAGAUUUCUGUUGGUCUUUUCCCUUUGCAGUCUAUCUCCUUCUGCACUAGAACCUCUAACUUGUAACUAAAAAUGUAGCUGAUAAGAGGACAGAAUUAAAAUAAGUAUUUCUCACAGUAUGCUGGACUCCAAAACAGUAAACAUUGAAAGCAACUAAAAGAAGAGAGAAAUCUCUCCAGUAAGGAUAUUAUCCAGCUUGGUUGGGUGUCUCAAGAAUGUUCAGAUCUGUCUCACUGUGAUGUAUCCCAACAGGC
Cervus elaphus (red deer) is the source of this 746-nucleotide non-coding RNA. NCBI's taxonomy places the organism in Eukaryota, Metazoa, Chordata, Mammalia, Artiodactyla, Cervidae. The record is from the annotation of a RefSeq genome assembly.